CGGAGGGUUGCAAAGCGUUGUUCGGAAUUACUGGGCGUAAAAGCGCGUGUAGGCGGCUUGGCAAGUCGGAUGUGAAAUCCUCGGGCUCAACCCGAGAACUGCAUCCGAAAACUGCUUCGCUAGAGUCUCGGAGAGGAAGGCAGAAUUCCCAGUGUAGGGGUGAAAUCCGUAGAUACUGGGAGGAAUACCGGCAGCGAAGGCGGCCUUCUGGACGAUGACUGACGCUGAGACGCGAAAAGCUGGGGAGCAAACAGGAUUAGAUACCCUGGUAGUCCACGCCGUAAACGUUGUGCACUAGGUGUCGGGAGUAUUCACCCUCCCGGUGCCGACGCUAACGCAAUAAGUGCACCGCCUGGGGAGUACGGCCGCAAGGCUA
This 376-nucleotide ribosomal RNA is filed under the name uncultured organism. Its description in RNAcentral is "bacterial SSU rRNA". It matches the Rfam family "Bacterial small subunit ribosomal RNA", at positions 526 to 896 of the family's 1533-position model. The record is from RNAcentral.